Molecule: non-coding RNA, 1647 nt
Organism: Malus domestica (apple)
Lineage: Eukaryota; Viridiplantae; Streptophyta; Magnoliopsida; Rosales; Rosaceae
Source: RefSeq, a predicted model, not a curated record
CAUACGGGAGGGAGAACGCGGCGUUUUGAAGACUUUUUGGUUAUUUAAUCGGAUGAUGUAGUGGACCCUUGAAGUAGAGAAAGGACUUGCCCACAUCGAGUUUUCCAAUGCCGGAAGCAACCAUUUGUUUUCAAAGCCUUUGGAUGCUUGGGAGAGGUUCGGGAAGGUGAAGGUUCAUGGGUUUGAUGUGUGUGUGUGUGACUCGCUCAUUGACAUGGUUGAGAGUUUCAAGCAGGUGUUUGAUGAAAUGUCUGAGAGAAACAUGCUUUGUUGGAACAUUACGAUCUCGAGGUAUCUUAGGUGCAGGAGGUUUGAGGAGGCUUUGGAUGUGUUUCGGGGGAUGCGAUGUGAGAGCAACGAGAAGCCUGAUGAAGCUACGGCUGUAAGCACCAUUUCGGCUUGCACAGCGCUGAAAAAUUUGGGGGUUGGUAAAAAAAAUCAUGAAUAUGUUAGAAGUGAACUUGGAUUCACUGCUAGAACUGGAAAUGCAUAAAUGUGGUUGUUUGAAUGAAGGCCGGAGAAUUUUUUAUGAAAUGCCGGUGAAAAACAUGUUCUGUUGUACUUGUGUGGUAUCUGGCUCUGUAAAUUGUGUAGGUUUGGUGAGGCAAGAGAAGUGUUUUAUGGGUAUGUAUGUACAAUUCAAUUAUACUACCAUUUUAACGAGGCGGGCGGCUCUAUUCCAAGAGAUGCAAACUAAAAUGUUAGGGGAUAAAUUUACAGCGGUUGCUCUUCACAGGCUGUGCUCGGUUGGGAGCAUUAGAGCAAGAGGAAUGGAUUCGCAGGUAUAUCGAAUAUAACAGAAUUAAAACUGAUGCAGUUGUUGGUACCGUGGUUAUAGAAAUGUAUGCAAAAUGUGGGAGCACGGACAAGUCUUUGGACUUCAAUCAUUUGUGGGCUUGCAAGGAAUGGCAAGACAAGCAAAGCAAUCGAGUUCUUCUUGAAAAUGGUACAGAUUGACAUGAAGCCUGAUGAUUUCACCUUCAUUGUUGUCUUAAGUGCUUGUGUUCACAGAGGGUUGGUAGAUGAGGGUCGUGAGUUCUUCAACUCCAUGAGAAAGAUAUAUGAGAGAUUGCACCGAAGUUAUAGCACUAUGGUUGCCAGAUCGACCUUAUUGGCCAUGUUGGACUGUUAGAAGAAGCAGAGGAGCUGAUAGAAAGGAUUCCAAGUGAGAUUAUAGUCCUGAUUUCUAUAUGUUUACAUCCAUCGUCAGUAACUGCACAUUUCAAUCUAAAAUUUUGGUUUAGAACCAAAAAAGUCGAAGUAUGAUGCUAAUAAUUUGGUUCCACAAGAGAAUAUGAAUAUUUGUAAAGCAUAGAACAAUUAACAAGUGAACAACUAGUCAAUAUUGCAAAUGAAAUGUCUGUAAAACGAGGAACAAAUCGUAAUCAAAUGUCCGACUAAUGGAGCUGGGAAAAUGAGAAAGACGCUGACGUGGUCUGCGGGAGAGUAUAAUGCAGGAAUAGCAACUAUUCAACCGAUCUGGCAAUGCUCUCUCUUCAAACCCUUUGCCUUUUCCGUUUGGGUUCAUCUGUAGUAGUCGUCAUUUGAUUAGUGGGAUGAUGAUCAGAUGCGUCAUGGCUUGGUCCUGCACUUGACUCAUCAUACAAUCAAUCUGGAUGUGGUUCAGAUUCAUAUCUAUACACCCCA